AUGCUGGAGGUAUCAGAAGUGCGAAUGCUGACAUAAGUAACGAUAAAGCGGGUGAAAAGCCCGCUCGCCGGAAGACCAAGGGUUCCUGUCCAACGUUAAUCGGGGCAGGGUGAGUCGACCCCUAAGGCGAGGCCGAAAGGCGUAGUCGAUGGGAAACAGGUUAAUAUUCCUGUACUUGGUGUUACUGCGAAGGGGGGACGGAGAAGGCUAUGUUAGCCGGGCGACGGUUGUCCCGGUUUAAGCAUGUAGGCUGGUUAUCCAGGCAAAUCCGGAUAAUCAAGGCUGAGGUGUGAUGACGAGGCACUACGGUGCUGAAGUAACAAAUGCCCUGCUUCCAGGAAAAGCCUCUAAGCAUCAGGUAACAUCAAAUCGUACCCCAAACCGACACAGGUGGUCAGGUAGAGAAUACCAAGGCGCUUGAGAGAACUCGGGUGAAGGAACUAGGCAAAAUGGUGCCGUAACUUCGGGAGAAGGCACGCUGGUGUGUAGGUGAAGUCCCUGCGGAUGGAGCUGAGACCAGUCGAAGAUACCAGCUGGCUGCAACUGUUUAUUAAAAACACAGCACUGUGCAAACACGAAAGUGGACGUAUACGGUGUGACGCCUGCCCGGUGCCGGAAGGUUAAUUGAUGGGGUUAUCCGUAAGGAGAAGCUCUUGAUCGAAGCCCCGGUAAACGGCGGCCGUAACUAUAACGGUCCUAAGGUAGCGAAAUUCCUUGUCGGGUAAGUUCCGACCUGCACGAAUGGCGUAAUGAUGGCCAGGCUGUCUCCACCCGAGACUCAGUGAAAUUGAACUCGCUGUGAAGAUGCAGUGUACCCGCGGCAAGACGGAAAGACCCCGUGAACCUUUACUAUAGCUUGACACUGAACAUUGAGCCUUGAUGUGUAGGAUAGGUGGGAGGCUUUGAAGCGUGGACGCCAGUCUGCGUGGAGCCAACCUUGAAAUACCACCCUUUAAUGUUUGAUGUUCUAACGUUGGCCCCUUACCGGGGUUGCGGACAGUGUCUGGUGGGUAGUUUGACUGGGGCGGUCUCCUCCCAAAGCGUAACGGAGGAGCACGAAGGUUAGCUAAUCCUGGUCGGACAUCAGGAGGUUAGUGCAAUGGCAUAAGCUAGCUUGACUGCGAGCGUGACGGCGCGAGCAGGUGCGAAAGCAGGUCAUAGUGAUCCGGUGGUUCUGAAUGGAAGGGCCAUCGCUCAACGGAUAAAAGGUACUCCGGGGAUAACAGGCUGAUACCGCCCAAGAGUUCAUAUCGACGGCGGUGUUUGGCACCUCGAUGUCGGCUCAUCACAUCCUGGGGCUGAAGUAGGUCCCAAGGGUAUGGCUGUUCGCCAUUUAAAGUGGUACGCGAGCUGGGUUUAGAACGUCGUGAGACAGUUCGGUCCCUAUCUGCCGUGGGCGCUGGAGAAUUGAGGGGGGCUGCUCCUAGUACGAGAGGACCGGAGUGGACGCAUCACUGGUGUUCGGGUUGUCAUGCCAAUGGCACUGCCCGGUAGCUAAAUGCGGAAGAGAUAAGUGCUGAAAGCAUCUAAGCACGAAACUUGCCCCGAGAUGAGUUCUCCCUGAGACUU
This 1569-nucleotide ribosomal RNA is filed under the name Klebsiella pneumoniae. RNAcentral's name for it is "partial 23S ribosomal RNA". It matches the Rfam family "Bacterial large subunit ribosomal RNA", at positions 1270 to 2823 of the family's 2925-position model. RNAcentral also lists the same sequence under 1 other name. Lineage: Bacteria; Pseudomonadati; Pseudomonadota; Gammaproteobacteria; Enterobacterales; Enterobacteriaceae. The record is from RNAcentral.